RNAcentral lists this ribosomal RNA (509 nucleotides) under Ctenidium molluscum. RNAcentral's name for it is "eukaryotic LSU rRNA". The stretch from base 1 to 125 matches the Rfam family "5.8S ribosomal RNA", at positions 29 to 154 of the family's 154-position model. The record is from RNAcentral. Lineage: Eukaryota; Viridiplantae; Streptophyta; Bryopsida; Hypnales; Myuriaceae.
UGCAUCGAUGAAGAACGCAGCGAAAUGCGAUACGUAGUGUGAAUUGCAGAAUUCCGCGAAUCAUCGAGUCUUUGAACGCAAGUUGCGCCCGAGGCUUGUCCAAGGGCAUUUCCGCUAGAGCGUCACCGCGCCCCCACCGAUCCACCCCCAUUCACGUGGGGAGUCGGUUCGAGUGAAAGUGGCCAUCCCAGUGGGCCGCCUCGCGUCGCCGCGAAGGCAGUUCUUAAGGGUUGGCUGAAAUGGAGGGAAUUGGGCCGCCGUGGUGGCGCAGUCCGCAAAUCGGGUGAUUUUUUGGGCUCCUCCCAGCGGGGAGCCCUUAAUUUUUCUAAGUGCGUGGCUGCGUCCCGUCCCCCGAUUGGCUUCAUGAGGAGUCGGUUGGUUUUGUGGUGGUGGUUACCUCACGAUUCGGCUGCAGGUCUUGCGCGGCCCCGCGGGGUCGCGCGUCACGCAUCAGACCUCUAAUCGGAAAAGACUACCCGCUGAGUUUAAGCAUAUCAAUAAGCGGAGGA